Molecule: transfer RNA, 82 nt
Filed under: Furculomyces boomerangus
Lineage: Eukaryota; Fungi; Kickxellomycota; Harpellomycetes; Harpellales; Harpellaceae
Also listed under: 1 other name
Rfam family: tRNA
About the family: Transfer RNA (tRNA) molecules are approximately 80 nucleotides in length. Their secondary structure includes four short double-helical elements and three loops (D, anti-codon, and T loops).
Source: Rfam by way of RNAcentral
GGGGUGUUGGCGCAAUGGUAGCGCGUCCGCCUCCAGAAAUGGAUUAAGCGGAAGGCUGGGCGUUCGAGUCGCUCACGUCCCA